Molecule: long non-coding RNA, 2137 nt
Organism: Lagopus muta (rock ptarmigan)
Lineage: Eukaryota; Metazoa; Chordata; Aves; Galliformes; Phasianidae
Exons: 16
Source: RefSeq, a predicted model, not a curated record
ACUUGGCCUGAUUGCAGGAGGUUAUAUAAAAGGAGAGCUGGGCUCCUCCCUGGAGAGGACAAAAGGAGGCAAGAGAAGAAGAAGAAAUGCUGCUUGUUUUUAAGACUGGAACAUGGAGAGUGGGACAGUGUCCAUUCAACUGCCUUGAAACUUGCCUGAAACAUGGCUUUCUGCUUUCUCCUCCAUGUCUGAUUGCUCCCCAAGGAAAGACCAUAAUUUGGGAUAAGUUCUGCUCUCCAACAGACUUAUCGUGUGGGGAUGGUAUUUCUGAGCUUGUGCGUCUGUAAGGCCAUGCACUCUACUGUGCUGAAUCCAAGAGAAGACUUCCAAGUGAUUGCCAGCGAUUGGCUGGGGAGCUUGGAGACCUGAAUCAAAACCUGAAGCUGUCAACUUGCUGAAGUAGUGUCUACACAAAGCUGGACUGCACCAACAGUUCCCCAUUUUCAGCUUCUCUGUGGCCGAGGGAAGCUGAGUGCUGCAGGAAUCUGAGUGGCGACUCUGGACCCCUAAGCUUUAUCCAGGGAUUUCUCAACAUCACCUGCCCAGUUUACUAAGGGAGAGGGUGGUGACGAGGCAGUAGCUGUGAGGCAAGACGAGCAUUGGGGAUGUUGUGAGCUGGACAUGGGAGGACAGUGAUGCCAGACUGAGCACACUAAGCACUAGGAGCUGCGCUCAGACCAAAAGCAGGGACCCACCCUGGACCUAGCAACAUCAAAUGGAGUUACUGCCCUGUGCUGUCACCUGUGCUUGCCACCAGAUGUGAUGCAAGAGAAGCCACAAAUGACUUCUGUGAUGCCUUCAGGCCAAAGAGAAGGUCAUGGCCUAAAAGUGGUAACCUUCCAGAAGAGACUCUGGGCUUGCCUGUGGUAAAAUGCAAUGAUGAGCGUCAUGGGGAAAGGUAUGUGAUGGUGUAAUAUCUGUCCAUGUAAUGGAAGGCUGGAUGGGUACAAGCAAUGAAAUUGGAAAUCAAUCCCAAAUCCUGCCGAAUCCAGGAGACCUUCACACCCAUGAAGGCACUGCUGCUGAGUCGGGCCAAUGGCUGUGUGCACACCCAAGAAAUACACACGUGCUGAUAGAAAACAGAUUUAAAAGGUACCUAAAAUAAUAGCUUUUUAAGACAGUCUUACGGUCACAUAACUUGUUGGGAAAAGCAUACCAUGGCUCCCAGUCUGAAUUAAACAUUGUCAUUGUGGUAUAGAAGAAGGUGCAUGCUCAAGAGUUGUUAUUUGACUGGGUUGCUGAAGACAGCAAGUCACUGACAGAGCAGCAGGAAUUAUCAGAAGAUGAGGAUCUGCCACCCUGUUUCUUUUGUGCUAACCACCAACAGCUGGAGACCAGGCCGAAGAGAGAGAAGAGAAGCACGUCUCAAGGAAGCAUGUGCUUAAGCAUGAAGAUGAACAAAGCUUCCAGGGGAAAGCUAUUCAGAUCAACUAUGGCUAUACCACGUCCAUGUCUAUCCAUCGUACUUUCCAAAUAUUUUGAUAAAAUCAAAGAGAGCCAUUGAGAUAAAGUUUAAAGGGAAGAGCUUUCUGGUGAAUAACUCGAAAUUAACAGGCUCUUCCUGCUGUGCAAGGCAGUGACAAGCUGAAGAUGGAGCUUGCACGUCGUAGGAGCAGAACGUAAGGAUUCCGCCAGGUUUUAAUGCAACAUACCUGCUAUUUUGACUUGGUCUUCUUCUAAUCAAACUGGAGAUGUUUAGCUAGAAACUCCUUUCCCUGUUAUUUCAAAGGCAGCCCAAGCACAGCAUCAGUGUCUGCUGAGGAUAGUUUGGGCAUGGAUGGUAGAGACCAAGGCCAGAUGAAAAUGUGCAUAGUGGGAACACAGCCCUCACCUUGUAAUGGAUGCAGCCACUUGAAAACUUGUGCCACGUGUGAACAGUGCACAUAUUGUGCUCCCACCAGGCAGAGCUGACCCUACUUCGAUUUGCUGUUUUCCUUCGUUAUCUGCCCAUUCUAAUGGAAGUCUGCAGCACAUCAUGGACGUGAAGUGUAGAGCAUCAGGUGUUCACAGCUUCCCAUUGCGAAGUGAAGGUGUUGGGAGCACCUUGUCUUCAGGACAAAAACAGCAGAACAGUGCUGCGAUGACAUGAAGCUGAGAGCUGAGCCCACGCAGGGCACUGGGGAGGGUCACAGGGAGU